Molecule: long non-coding RNA, 175 nt
Filed under: Neodiprion pinetum (white pine sawfly)
Lineage: Eukaryota; Metazoa; Arthropoda; Insecta; Hymenoptera; Diprionidae
Description: uncharacterized LOC124214705
Source: RNAcentral
UGAUAUAAUAUUCAACUCACAAGGGGAGUGUCAAACUUGGGAAUCACAGAUUUCCAUCACUUUUAUAUAUAUUGUAGGGCAGGGUCCCCUCAAUAAAUAUAUAAAGCGGCAAGACGCCAUUCGUUUUUAUUAUUGAGAAAUUUCAACUCAAAGUUCUAUAUGUAACUUAAGUAGA